GGGGAUAUAGCUCAGUUGGUAGAGUGCUUGCCUCAAAUGCACAAGGCCCUGGGUUCAAUCCCCAGCACCACUA
Molecule: transfer RNA, 73 nt
Filed under: Ictidomys tridecemlineatus (thirteen-lined ground squirrel)
Lineage: Eukaryota; Metazoa; Chordata; Mammalia; Rodentia; Sciuridae
Description: Spermophilus tridecemlineatus (thirteen-lined ground squirrel) tRNA
Rfam family: tRNA
About the family: Transfer RNA (tRNA) molecules are approximately 80 nucleotides in length.
Source: Rfam by way of RNAcentral